RNAcentral lists this microRNA (22 nucleotides) under Oikopleura dioica. RNAcentral's name for it is "odi-let-7d". Its record names the gene odi-let-7d. The record is from miRBase by way of RNAcentral. Lineage: Eukaryota; Metazoa; Chordata; Appendicularia; Copelata; Oikopleuridae.
UGAGGUAGUGGGUUGUAUCGCU